Molecule: unclassified non-coding RNA, 520 nt
Filed under: uncultured Glomus
Lineage: Eukaryota; Fungi; Glomeromycota; Glomeromycetes; Glomerales; Glomeraceae
Description: SSU rRNA
Rfam family: Eukaryotic small subunit ribosomal RNA
Source: RNAcentral
AGCAGCCGCGGUAAUUCCAGCUCCAAUAGCGUAUAUUAAAGUUGUUGCAGUUAAAAAGCUCGUAGUUGAAUUUCGGGAUCAAUUAGUCGGUCGUGCCUCUGGUACGUACUGGUAUUAUCGAUUCCUACCUUCUGAAGAACUUCGAUGUCAUUAAUUUGGUGUCUUGGGAAAUCAGGACUGUUACUUUGAAAAAAUUAGAGUGUUUAAAGCGGGCUAACGCUUGAAUACAUUAGCAUGGAAUAAUGAAAUAGGACGUUUGAUCCUAUUUUGUUGGUUUCUAGGAUCGACGUAAUGAUUAAUAGGGAUAGUUGGGGGCAUUAGUAUUCAAUUGUCAGAGGUGAAAUUCUUGGAUUUAUUGAAGACUAACUACUGCGAAAGCAUUUUGCCAAGGAUGUUUUCAUUAAUCAAGAACGAAAGUUAGGGGAUCGAAGACGAUCAGAUACCGUCGUAGUCUUAACCAUAAACUAUGCCGACUAGGGAUCGGAUGAUGUUAAUUUUUUCAAUGACUCAUUCGGCGCCU